GCUAGUCGGGCGGGUGCGCGGGGCGCUCGGGGCCCGGGGCCAGAGCUGGAGCCGGAGCCGGGCGGGCGCCAUGGAGGGGCUGCGGCGGGGGCUGUCGCGCUGGAAGCGCUACCACAUCAAGGUGCACCUGGCGGACGAGGCGCUGCUGCUACCGCUGACCGUGCGGCCGCGGGACACGCUCAGCGACCUGCGCGCCCAGCUGGUGGGCCAGGGCGUGAGCUCCUGGAAGCGCGCCUUCUACUACAACGCGCGGCGGCUGGACGACCACCAGACGGUGCGCGACGCGCGCCUGCAGGACGGCUCGGUGCUGCUGCUCGUCAGCGACCCCAGGUAGUCUGGGUUGGAGGAGGCAGAGCCAUGACCAAGGGGACCUGGGUACUGGCUGAAGGAAUAGGCUGGGGUAGAGGGCACUUUUGGAAGGCACUUCUCCUGCCUCCCGGGAGCCUAGAUCUCACUCCAGGGUCUGGGCUCCCAGGUGGACCAUGAAACCCUGGCCUGACCAGCUGAUGCACACUGCUUCAGACACUCCUGCUGGAGCCCCAGUCCCUGACAAGGACCUAGGACAUUUUUGCUCCUGCCCAGCCUAUCGGGAGGGAGCCUUGAGCCUUUCAGCUCUGCUGUGUGACUUUGAGGUUGUUGCUCCCCUCUUGGGGCCCUGGGUGCCCUGUCUUCAGUGGAAAGCACUGUGCCACCUUGGAAAGCUCCCAUGGGCAGCCAGAGGGCAUCGCAAGAAGAGAAGCACAGAAGGGGCAGGAGAGACACUCAGAGGCACUUCCGCUCUUGCCCAGGACAUUUUCCCAGCCACACCUUUGCCCAAGCCGUGCCCCCUGCCUGGAGCACUUUUCAACCUCUUCUCUGCAGCUCCAAUACACCUGGGAUUGCAGUCUCCUCCAGGAAGUCUUCUCAGAUUCCCUCCUUCCCAGCCAGAGAGCACCUAGCCUUCUUUGGGGCCCCCACAGGCCCUUUGUGCAGUGAACAGCCCUGGCUGGGGGUGCAGCCAGUCGUGUCCGAACUCUCCAAUGACUAAGCGGGGAGAUGCGGACAUCCUAGCUCCUUCUCAGGCCUCCAACUGUGCCCCAUUUCCACCCCCAAAUACCUCCCCAGGAGGCACCUGUGCCCACCCCCUGGGCUGUUUCCCCCUUCCCCUUAAAUCCGGAUGCCUCGUCUUGCAUAGGGUCUUGGGGCAGCGGGGAAGGGGUUCUGAAGAACUCUGGCCAAGAGGACGAGGAUCUGGGGGUGGGGAACUGGGCCUAGCUGUGGGAGGUCAUCGCGGGGCAUUGCAGGGAGUGCGUUGUGGGAAUUCCGGGUGGAGACCCUCAGGGCAGUGUGCCGGGCCUCCGUUGCACCUCUGACCUGCAGCCACGUCAUCGUUGCGCAGCCCCUGGGGAGGGUCUUUGGGGAGGGGGUGCCGAGGCUACGCAUGUCCUCGAGGGCCGUGUACACUCUCCAGGCACCAUGGGCGGAGGCGCCAGAGGCUGGGAAGAAAUAAUGUUUUAGUUAAGAGUCCUGUUGGCUGCAGGACUCAGAGCAUGGACAGGUGGAUAGUAAAUCACCACCACGGGGACAGCCGUGCCCAGACUGUGCGUUUGCUUAGCUCGGGGACAGCACUUGGCCCGGGGUCUCCUGCUCGCCUCCCUUCAGAGCAUCUGCCAAACUUCGGGCAUCUACCCUGCAAUUCCCGCUUGGCUGAGAGGAGGGGGAGAAGGAGGGGAAGAGAGAGGAGCCCCACUUCACUCCGGCAGGCAGACCUGCUGGAGCUGCUUUGCAGAAUGACUUGGGUCUUGCUGGCCCCUGGGUGUGCCUGGAGGGGGGUCUUCCUAUCCCCCUCCACCUCUCCCCUUGGUGCCUAACCCAGGACUUUGUCCCCAGAGACCCACUGUGUGCCCCCUGGAGCUCCUCCUAGAGCAGAGUCUGCUGCUGUCUGUUCUGCAGAGGGUAGCCUGAGGCCCAAGGAGGUUGUCAGGGACACACAGCAGGGGGAGGCAGCCCAGAUCCCUGCUCAUGCGUGGUUUGGGCCUCUGCUAACAGCUGGGCCACAUGCGUGUAUCUAGAGCCUGGGUCCCCUCUGUCCUCAUUUCCCUGUGCAUAUUCAGGGACAUGCCUCGUCAGGGUUUGGCAAGAAAAUGGGGCAUUUAAUAAUCUCCCCAGUUUCAUUCCUUGGUCCUUACUCCAUGCCAGGACUUGUGCACAUCUUUUUGGAGCCCUGUCUCACUUGAUUGACAGCCGGCCAGGCGCGGUGGCUCACGCCUGUAAUCCCAGCACUUUGGGAGGACGAGGCAGGCGGAUCAUGAGGUCAGGAGAUGGAGACCAUCCUGGCUAACACGGUGAAACCCCGUCUCUACUAAAAGUACAAAAAAAAUAGCCGGGCCUGGUGGCGGGCGCCUGUAGUCCCAGCUACUUGGUAGGCUGAGGCAGGAGAAUGGCGGGAACCCGGGAGGCAGAGGUUGCAGUGAGCUGAGAUCACGCCACUGCACUCCAGCCUGGGCGACAGAGCGAGACUCCGUCUCAAAAAAAAAAAAAAAAAAGAUUGACAGCCUCACUGCUCAGGGGCCAGGAUAACAGCCCAUUUUACAGAUGGCUUUUGGCUUGCCCAAGGUCACCACCCUCUGAACUGAGGCGUCCCCAACCCAUGCCGGGAGCUGGUGGAGGAAGUGGGGAAGGGUUUCCCGCUUCUCCACUGGGGGUGGAGGUGGGAGAAAGCAUUUUCAGGGUGUUUUGACAUUUAACAAACAGUAUGCAAAUCACAUGCAAAUCGCAUGCAAAUCACCACCCAUUUCUUAAGCCUCGACAGCGCUGGCAUGUUCUGAAAUAAUAAUGUUGGACCUGUCCCUUGAUGAUGACCUGGGUCGGGAGGUGCACGGCCUUUUCCUUCCUCCGUCUUCCCUUCCCUUCCCUUCCCUUCCCAUCUGUUCUCCCUUCCUUCGCCCCCUUCCUUUCCUCUCCCUCCCUAUCUUCCAUUUUUCUCUUCUUCCUUCACAUCAUUUGUCCAAGACCUCCCUGGCCUGAGAUAAACAUAAGUUGCAAAAGUGGCUUCCUGCAGCCCAUUUUCCAGGUUGGGAAACUGAGGCAUGGGCCUAAGGUCCCACAGCCACACCGAGGAAAGCAGCCCCCACUGAAUGUCACCAUGCACCAAAGUGCAUGGUCCUCGUGACACAAAGAGGGGAGAUGACAGUGGCUGGAGUUGUCAGAGCUGCUUUGAGGAAGCUCCAGGCCUGAUAGGCUUGACAGGGCCAAGGGGAACUAUUGUGGAAUGUCUUGGCCUUGAAUGACAGGCUGCUGAUUUUGGAUCUGGAGAAAGCUCACACUGACUCUUCCUGCUCCCCCAGUCUGUUUUUCUCCUGCUACUCCAUCCAUGUAUCCCUGAGUUUGGGCCACAGUCCCUCCACUUGGUUUGCAUGUCCCACCUUCUUUGUUUGGCAAGCUCCUAUUCAUCCUUCAAAGCCCUAGCUUCAAUACCUGCUACUUCAUGCAGCCAUUGCUUAUCCUUCAAGGAGAGCCUACUUCCCUCAAGGACCCUGCUGCUUCCAGUCUCACCUUCUGACUCACUCGGGAUCCACUGAACUGGGAGGUCUGUGUCUCCUCCCAGCAGAGUCAUCACUACCUUUGGGGCCGCAGGAUCACCCAGCUUGGAACUAGAUACAGAAAUGCUGUUUUGAGAGUGUACUGAAUAAAAGAUUACAUGUUUGAAAACAA
Molecule: long non-coding RNA, 3693 nt
Filed under: Homo sapiens (human)
Lineage: Eukaryota; Metazoa; Chordata; Mammalia; Primates; Hominidae
Description: non-protein coding lnc-TINCR-1:3
Source: RNAcentral